Molecule: ribosomal RNA, 478 nt
Filed under: uncultured bacterium
Lineage: Bacteria
Description: partial 16S ribosomal RNA
Rfam family: Bacterial small subunit ribosomal RNA
Source: RNAcentral
GACGAACGCUGGCGGCGUGCUUAACACAUGCAAGUCGAACGGUAAGGCCCUUCGGGGUACACGAGUGGCGAACGGGUGAGUAACACGUGGGUGAUCUGCCCUGCACUUCGGGAUAAGCCUGGGAAACUGGGUCUAAUACCGGAUAGGACCACUGCCUGCAUGGGUGGUGGUGGAAAGCUUUUGCGGUGUGGGAUGGGCCCGCGGCCUAUCAGCUUGUUGGUGGGGUGAUGGCCUACCAAGGCGACGACGGGUAGCCGGCCUGAGAGGGUGACCGGCCACCCUGGGAUUGAGAUACGGCCCAGACCCCUACGGGAGGCAGCAGGGGGGAAUAUUGCACAAGGGGCGCAAGCCUGAUGCAGCGACGCCGCGUGAGGGAUGACGGCCUUCGGGUUGAAACCCUCUUCCAGCACCGACGAAGCGAAAGUGACGGUAGGUGCAGAAGAAGGACCGGCCAACUACGUGCCAGCCGCCGCGGUAA